RNAcentral lists this small RNA (100 nucleotides) under Arabidopsis thaliana (thale cress). Its description in RNAcentral is "ATSL188580". Lineage: Eukaryota; Viridiplantae; Streptophyta; Magnoliopsida; Brassicales; Brassicaceae. The record is from RNAcentral.
GGAAUGAUACCGAAUCUUGACCUUAGAUCAUGAAGUCCUAAAGUGCAGAUAUCGAUUCCGUCGAUGAUUAUCUUCCCACCAGAUGGCUCCACAAGUCUAA